AUAAUAUACAACUUUCAGCAACGGAUCUCUUGGCUCUCGCAUCGAUGAAGAACGCAGCGAAAUGCGAUAAGUAAUGUGAAUUGCAGAAUUCAGUGAAUCAUCGAAUCUUUGAAUGCACCUUGCACCUCUUGGUAUUCUGAGAGGUACACCUGUUUGAGUAUCAUUAAUUCUAUCCACUCUUAGUUAAAAGGGUUGGGACUUGGGAGAUUUACUUGCAGAGUUAAAUAUCUGCUCUCCUUGAAUGUAUUAGCAGGGAUUUUAUUAGUCCUUGGAUUGAUUGUGAUAAUUAAAACAUCUCUUCAAAUCCUUGGGUCUAAGUUGUUCAUCUGCUUCAA
This 335-nucleotide unclassified non-coding RNA is filed under the name Asterostroma sp. KO-2014. RNAcentral describes it as "partial contains ITS1, 5.8S rRNA and ITS2". The stretch from base 10 to 163 matches the Rfam family "5.8S ribosomal RNA". The record is from RNAcentral. Lineage: Eukaryota; Fungi; Basidiomycota; Agaricomycetes; Russulales; Lachnocladiaceae.